CAACUCUCAACAACGGAUAUCUUGGCUCCCGUAUCGAUGAAGAACGCAGCGAAAUGCGAUACGUAGUGUGAAUUGCAGAAUUCCGUGAACCAUCGAAUCUUUGAACGCAAAUUGCGCCCGCGGCUCCGGCCAAGGGCAUGUCUGCCUCAGCGUCGGCGUACCCCCCUCGCCCCCCUUCCCCUGUGGGGCGGACCUGG
This 197-nucleotide ribosomal RNA is filed under the name Mucidosphaerium pulchellum. RNAcentral describes it as "5.8S ribosomal RNA". The stretch from base 2 to 155 matches the Rfam family "5.8S ribosomal RNA". Rfam says of the family: 5.8S ribosomal RNA (5.8S rRNA) is a component of the large subunit of the eukaryotic ribosome. It is transcribed by RNA polymerase I as part of the 45S precursor that also contains 18S and 28S rRNA. Functionally, it is thought that 5.8S rRNA may be involved in ribosome translocation. Lineage: Eukaryota; Viridiplantae; Chlorophyta; Trebouxiophyceae; Chlorellales; Chlorellaceae. The record is from RNAcentral.